AUGUGUUUCAUUCCUCUCCGUUGUCUCUCUGUUGUCCUGCUGGGAGACUUCAAUGCUCACGUGGGUAACAACAGCGAGACCUGGAGGGGCGUGAUCGGGAGGAACGGCCUCCCUGAUCUGAACCCGAGUGGUGUUUUGUUAUUGGACUUCUGUGCAAAUCACAGUUUGGCCAUAAUGAACACCUUGUUCGAACGUAAGAGUGUCCAUAAGUGCACGUGGCACCAGGACGCUCUAGGCCGCAGGUCGAUGAUCGAUUUUGUAAUCGUAUCACCAGACCUGCGACCAUAUGUUCUGGACACUCGGGUAAAGAGAGGGGCUGAGCUGUCAACUGAUCACCACCUGGUGGUGAGUUGGAUCAGGUGGCGGGGGAGGACGCUGGACAGACCUGGUGCACCUAAACGUGUAGUGAGGGUGUGCUGGGAACGUCUAGCAGAGGCCCCAGUCCGCGAGAUCUUCAACGCACACCUCCGGCAGAGCUUCAACAGCAUUCCGAGGGAGACUGGGGACAUUGAGUUCGAAUGGACCAUGUUCAGCGUCUCCAUCGCCGAAGCUGCUGCAUUGAGCUGCGGUCGCAAGGUGGUUGGUGCCUGCCGUGGUGGUAAUCCCCGAACCAAAUGGUGGACACCAGAGGUGAAGGGAGCCACCAAGCUGAAGAAGGAGUCCUAUCGGGCUUGGUUAGCCUGUGAGACUCCGGAGGCAGCCGACAGGUAUCGACAGGCCAAGCGGAAUGCGGCUCGGGCAGUGGCUGAAGCAAAAACUCGGGUGUGGGAGGAGUUCGGAGAAGCCAUGGAAAAAGACUUUCGGACUGCCUCGAAGAGAUUCUGGCAAACCGUCAGGCGUCUCAGGAGGGGAAAGCGGUGCUCUACCUGCACUGUGUAUAGUGCUGGCGGAGCGCUGCUGACGUCGACUGAGAAAAUUGUCAGGCGGUGGAAGGAAUACUUCGAGGACCUCCUUAAUCCCACUGACACGUCUUCCGAGGAGGAAGCAGAGUCUGGGGAUGAGGGGAAUGACCCGCCAAUUUCCGGGGACGAGGUCACUGAGGCAGUUAAACAACUGCUUGGUGGCAGAGCCCCUGGUGUUGAUGAGGUCCGCCCCGAGUUCCUGAUGGCUCUGGACGUUGUGGGGCUGUCUUGGUUGACACGCCUCUGCAAUGUUGCGUGGAGAUCAGGGGCAGUAUUUGAAACUCUGUUUCAAAUACUGAGCCUCAGUAAAGAUUCAAGCUGCAUUUAUUUAUAUUUCCUGUCACCUUAA
This 1251-nucleotide long non-coding RNA is filed under the name Oreochromis niloticus (Nile tilapia). Its description in RNAcentral is "lncRNA (ENSONIG00000035376.1)". The record is from RNAcentral. Lineage: Eukaryota; Metazoa; Chordata; Actinopteri; Cichliformes; Cichlidae.